RNAcentral lists this long non-coding RNA (209 nucleotides) under Capsicum annuum. RNAcentral describes it as "long non-coding RNA (CANN_LNC008837)". Lineage: Eukaryota; Viridiplantae; Streptophyta; Magnoliopsida; Solanales; Solanaceae. The record is from RNAcentral.
GUUGGAGUUAGUUGAGGGUUUGUCCUAUCAAUUCCACAUUCAAUAAGUUUAGAGGCUUUCAGACUAGUACAGACAGUUAGUUAGUUUUCAGUUAUUAUUAUCAGUUGUUUUAUUAGUAUUUCCAGUACAUUUUUAGACAUUUAAAACCAUGAUUCAGUAUUAUUUUCAGAUACUAAAACCUUAUGGCAUUUUCAAAUAAUUUCCACAUA